RNAcentral lists this ribosomal RNA (440 nucleotides) under uncultured bacterium. RNAcentral's name for it is "partial 16S ribosomal RNA". It matches the Rfam family "Bacterial small subunit ribosomal RNA", at positions 338 to 795 of the family's 1533-position model. The record is from RNAcentral.
CCUACGGGUGGCAGCAGUGGGGAAUAUUGCACAAUGGGGGAAACCCUGAUGCAGCGACGCCGCGUGAGGGAAGAAGUAAUUCGUGAUGGAAAGCUCUAUCAGCAGGGGAGAAAAUGACGGUACCUGUGUAAGAAGCCGCGGCUAACUACGUGCCAGCUGCCGCGGUAAUACGUAGGGGGCAAGCGUUAUCCGGAUUUACUGGGUGUAAGGGGAGCGUAGACGGUGAUGCAAGUCCGAAGUGAAAGCCCUGGGCUCAACUCCGGGACUGCCUUUGAAACUGGGUGACUGGAGUGCAGGAGAGGUAAGCGGAAUUCCUGGUGUAGCGGUGAAAUGCGUAGAUAUCAGGAGGAACACCAGUGGCGAAGGCGGCUUACUGGACUGUAACUGACGUUGAGGCUCGAAAGCGUGGGGAGCAAACAGGAUUAGAUACCCCAGUAGUC